GUUGCCCAACCUGCUGCGCGACGCGCUAGCCAUUUCGCCACCGAGCGGUAAUCCGCAAAAUAUGUUGGAUGAGAAAAUCAGAACGAGAAAAACUAUAAUUUAGUUUAGAGAAACUUAAAGCGUUUGAUAUUGCAAAAGUUUGGAAGUCUACCAAUAUAAUAAAACCUGUUUCUUCUAAAAGCGUAGAAAACCCAUCAUCAUAAGAUCCUGUGGGGUUUUUACCGUUUUCAAUAACAUACUUUGGGAGCGACUUUCGCAGAAUGAAAGCCGAUAGAGGAAAAGGAAAAGGAUGUUCGCUUUGAGAGAGAGUUGAUAACAAAAAUAAAGAUGUCUUUGUACUGAUAGAAACAAAUACGUUUUUUUUUAACUCCAUUUUAGAAAUGGAUAUAGCAGUUUUCGUUUUAACUUCAUUUUUUCUUUCAGGUGCUUUUGGGUCUCAGAACUUUAAAUGCGGUCCUGUCGACAAGUUAUAUUGCAACGCUAUCCCUAAGGUGAUUGAAAAAGACAAAAUGUUCAGCAUUAGUGAGGAAACACUUCGGGACAACUGCACGUAAGUUUUACUUUGCUAAAAAAAAAAAAAAAAAUUAUCAUCUUUCAAUUUAAAGUAUUUUUAUACUUUAAAUAAAAAAAAUUAAAAAUUAAAAAAAAAAAAAUUAAAUUAAAAAAUUA
This is a long non-coding RNA of Stegodyphus dumicola, 669 nucleotides long. The record is from RefSeq and is a predicted model, not a curated record. Lineage: Eukaryota; Metazoa; Arthropoda; Arachnida; Araneae; Eresidae.